This 776-nucleotide long non-coding RNA is filed under the name Olea europaea subsp. europaea. Lineage: Eukaryota; Viridiplantae; Streptophyta; Magnoliopsida; Lamiales; Oleaceae. The record is from RNAcentral.
GAAAUGUAUAAACUGUUACAUUUUGUCCUGGUUUUCAGAAUAUACAUCAAGGGUAACCCACUGAGAAUUUGGUGAGAUUUCUGAAAGCAAGGGAUGGGAAUGUCUCCAAUGCGUAUAAAAUGGUACGACACAUUCUAUUUUAAGAAAAUCCCAAAGAGUAUCUGACUUGAAUCAAGUUUAUCGAUUUCAAGUAUUCUUACCAAUCAUACUUCAUGUUUCAAAUGAUUGAUUUCUUGAACUGGAGGAUACAAAAUGAAAUUGAUAACAUAUUGGCUGUGAGUUUUCAUGUUCUCUUUAAGUACAAGCAUCAUCAGUCUAUAGACCAAUUUUAGUCUUGACUAAUGCAUUCAUAAAAAUCUGUUACAUAUUCUACGCCUUCAGUCAGUUUAUGUUUUGUCCAGCCUUUAACUUAUUUCAAUAGAUAACUAAAUCUCUAUUAUAUUAUCUGAACUUAGAUUCAUACUCGAUCUGAGUUUUCUGAGGACAAGCUUCUCUGUGGCGAUCAUGAAGAUUGAAUUUACCCAUUGCAUUCAAAAGAGAGGUGCAGGCCAAGAAGAAAGUAACGGGAAGGAUAUUUUAGAGCUAGCCAACCCAACGAUUUGAAGACAACAAGUUGUAAAUUAUCUUCUUUUAUACAAUAAUUUUCUGUUGUUUAAGAGGAGUGUAAGAUGAUGUUUAUUUGAUGGGCAAUAUGUAAAACAAAAUUUUUUUCCGAUUUAUUACAAUGAUGUGUUUUGACUAUUUGGUAUGGAUGAAUAAAAUUAUAUCAAUUAAAG